AGAGUUUGAUCCUGGCUCAGGAUGAACGCUGGCGGUAUGCCUAACACAUGCAAGUCGAACGAACUCUUCGGAGAAAGUGGCGGACGGGUGAGUAACACGUAAGAAUCUGCCUUUUGGUCGGGGAUAACAGUGGGAAACCACUGCUAAUACCGGAUGAGCUGAGAAGUAAAAGAUUUAUUGCCAAAAGAGGAGCUUGCGUCUGAUUAGCUAGAUGGUGGGGUAAGAGCGUACCAUGGCAACGAUCAGUAGCUGGUCUGAGAGGAUGAUCAGCCACAUUGGGACUGAGACACGGCCCAGACUCCUACGGGAGGCAGCAGUGAGGAAUUUUCCGCAAUGGGCGAAAGCCUGACGGAGCAACGCCGCGUGAGGGAUGAAGGCCUCUGGGCUGUAAACCUCUUUUCUCAAGGAAGAAGAUCUGACGGUACUUGAGGAAUAAGCCACGGCUAAUUCCGUGCCAGCAGCCGCGGUAAUACGGGAGUGGCAAGCGUUAUCCGGAAUUAUUGGGCGUAAAGCGUCCGCAGGCGGCCCUUCAAGUCUGCUGUUAAAACGUGGAGCUUAACUCCAUCAUGGCAGUGGAAACUGUUGGGCUUGAGUGUGGUAGGGGCAGAGGGAAUUCCCGGUGUAGCGGUGAAAUGCGUAGAUAUCGGGAAGAACACCAGUGGCGAAGGCGCUCUGCUGGGCCAUAACUGACGCUCAUGGACGAAAGCCAGGGGAGCGAAAGGGAUUAGAUACCCCUGUAGUCCUGGCCGUAAACGAUGAACACUAGGUGUCGGGGGAAUCGACCCCCUCGGUGUCGUAGCCAACGCGUUAAGUGUUCCGCCUGGGGAGUACGCACGCAAGUGUGAAACUCAAAGGAAUUGACGGGGGCCCGCACAAGCGGUGGAGUAUGUGGUUUAAUUCGAUGCAACGCGAAGAACCUUACCAGGGUUUGACAUCCUGCGAAUCUCUUGGAAACGAGAGAGUGCCUUCGGGAACGCAGUGACAGGUGGUGCAUGGCUGUCGUCAGCUCGUGUCGUGAGAUGUUGGGUUAAGUCCCGCAACGAGCGCAACCCACGUCGUUAGUUGCCAGCAUCUAGUUGGGCACUCUAGCGAGACCGCCGGUGAUAAACCGGAGGAAGGUGUGGAUGACGUCAAGUCAUCAUGCCCCUUACAUCCUGGGCUACACACGUACUACAAUGCUACGGACAAAGGGCAGCAAACUCGCGAGAGCUAGCAAAUCCCAUAAACCGUGGCUCAGUUCAGAUCGUAGGCUGCAACUCGCCUACGUGAAGGAGGAAUCGCUAGUAAUCGCAGGUCAGCAUACUGCGGUGAAUACGUUCCCGGGCCUUGUACACACCGCCCGUC
Molecule: ribosomal RNA, 1344 nt
Filed under: uncultured bacterium
Lineage: Bacteria
Description: bacterial SSU rRNA
Rfam family: Bacterial small subunit ribosomal RNA
Source: RNAcentral